UUUGUUUAAAUUACAUGACUACUAAGUUGAUUUUUUUUAAUUUUAAUUUUUUUAAAUGUCACAUUUGUAUUUUUUUAUUUCAAUUUUUUAAUUAUUAAUACUUUAAAAUAUGUAUAAAAACAACAACUUAUCCUUCAUAUAGCUUAAAGUAUGUCGUGGUAUUGACAUUUAGAUGUUUUUCUAAUAUUUAAUUUUUUAAAUUAUAUACACCGUCAAUAUAAUAGCUAUGAAGUAAUAUUU
This 240-nucleotide long non-coding RNA is filed under the name Lathyrus oleraceus (garden pea). RNAcentral's name for it is "Pisum sativum (pea) long non-coding RNA (PSAT_LNC010507)". Lineage: Eukaryota; Viridiplantae; Streptophyta; Magnoliopsida; Fabales; Fabaceae. The record is from RNAcentral.